UGGACUCUCAAUGACAUAUGAUGUCACUUUCUGCUUUUCUAUGUGUUUUUUGCAUUUUUCUCAGCAAAGUUUGUGUCUUUUAAAACAGCUAUAUUUGCAAUAAAGUGGGUCUGGGUUGGAUUUUGCCUCAUCCCGCACUUAGAAUGUAGUACUGACCUGAUAAGUCCAAAAGCGAAAGAGAUGAUACUGUGACGAUUGGCUGGCAUCGUGGUGCGGUGCGUUCUCUCAUGAUGCAGUUUGGGCUCGGACACAGCGUAAGGACCACAGCAAACCUUAGCCAGUUUGCAAAGAAUGAAUGAUGAAUGCUGCUGCUGGUUGUCGCCACAAGUUGGAUAGUGCGUACCACGGGGCACUGAGAUUCAUCACCAACUGCGCUCCCCUUACUCACCAUUGUGUGUUAUACUCAAUGGUUAACUGGACGUCUUUAUGUGCCCGACGCCUCAAUUAUUGUAAGAACUGAACUGGGCAAGAAAGUAUUGAGGUUUUCAGCACCGAAGCCUUGGAAUAACCUACAAUCGAAUCUUCAACUUCAAACCCUUCUUACAUUAAAUGAGUUUAAAGCUUAUGUGAAAAGAUUGCAGUCUACCUUGUAUGUAUGUACAUGUGUUAUGUGAGCAAGUUUAAAUGUCGUAAAUUUGAUGUUUUAUGUGUUGUAUACUGUUUUUAAUGCAACCUUGCUGCUGCCCUCUUGGCCAGG
Molecule: long non-coding RNA, 697 nt
Organism: Nerophis ophidion (straightnose pipefish)
Lineage: Eukaryota; Metazoa; Chordata; Actinopteri; Syngnathiformes; Syngnathidae
Exons: 3
Source: RefSeq, a predicted model, not a curated record